This 941-nucleotide long non-coding RNA is filed under the name Microcebus murinus (gray mouse lemur). Its description in RNAcentral is "lncRNA (ENSMICG00000048820.1)". The record is from RNAcentral. Lineage: Eukaryota; Metazoa; Chordata; Mammalia; Primates; Cheirogaleidae.
CGAGAGCCAUAUAUAUAUACCAGCCACCGUUUGGUAUUGCUUUCACCCCGCCGCUGCCUGAACUGUCUUAAAUUGUCGUUAAAAAAAUUUUUGUUUUUUUCUCCUUCAGGGCAACAACUGCACAACUUCCCAACCCGGGAUUCGAACUCGCGGCGAGAGCCAUAUAUAUAUAUAUAUAACCGGCCACCGUUUGGUAUUGCUUUCACCCCGCCGCUGCCUGAACUGUCUUAAAUUGUCGUUAAAAAAAUUUUUGUUUUUUUCUCCUUCAGGGCAACAACUGCACAACUUCCCAACCCGGGAUUCGAACUCGCGGCGAGAGCCAUAUAUAUAUAUAACCGGCCGCCAUUUGGUAUUGCUUUCACCCUACUACUGCCUCAAUUGUCUUAAAUUGUCAUUAAAAAAAAUUGUGUUUUUUCUCCUUCAGGGUAACGACUGCACAACUUCCGAAUCGGGGAUUCGAACUCGCGGUGAGCGCCAUACAUAUAUACCCGCCGCUGCCUGAAUUGUCUUAAAUUGUCGUUAAAAAAAUUUGUUUUUUCUCCUUCAGGGGAACAACUGCACAACUUCUGAACCCGGGAUUCGAACUUGCGGCGAGAGCCACAUAUACACCGGCUGCCAUUUGGUAUUGUUUUCACUCCCGUCGCUUCCUGAAUUGUCUUAAAUUGUCGUUAAAAAAAUUUUUGUUUUUUUCUCCUUCAGGGCAACAACUGCACAACUUCCCAACCCGGGAUUCGAACCCACGGCGAGAGCCAUAUAUAUAUACCAGCUACCGUUUGGUAUUGCUUUCACCCCGUCACCCCGCCGCUGCCUGAGCUGUCUUAAAUUGUCGUUAAAAAAUUUUGUUUUUUUCUCCUUCAGGGGAGCGACUGCACAACUUCCAAACCAGGGAUUCGAACUCACGGCGAGAGUGCCGCUAGGGUGCUCCCGCUGAGGUAUCUCUU